RNAcentral lists this long non-coding RNA (1083 nucleotides) under Numida meleagris (helmeted guineafowl). RNAcentral describes it as "lncRNA (ENSNMEG00000016047.1)". The record is from RNAcentral. Lineage: Eukaryota; Metazoa; Chordata; Aves; Galliformes; Numididae.
ACAGGAGGUCUCAGCCCCUGGUGUUUGCUGCCCACCCCGUGGCCCCAUUGCAGCGUUGGGUUGUGGCAAGCUUGGCUGCACGUAGCGUGGCACGAAAGGUAUUUUGAUGUACAGAGCUCUGGCUUGUGCACCACUGGCUUCCCCAUUUGGGCACUGGUGAAUUGAGAGCAGCCUGGGGAGAUGCUGCUGAUGGGAGCUCACAUGGGGAUAAAAAAAACAAGCUGCCAAAAGAAGAGGGAAAUUCUCUGGUGCUCUACCCCAUUCAUUUCAAUUUUAUCUCCUUGACUCUGCCAGGGGGGUUCCAGUGUCCAGCACAGGCAGACUUUAAUUUCCCAUUUCUUGGCUCAUAAGCAACUCACACCACUAAGUCUGAAUAUCCAUGCUGUGUGAAUCCCCUAGAAAGCAUAACGCAGUUUAAUGAAAUCAUGCAAACUGUGAGUGUUGGUUAAAGGAAUGAUGUUAAAAUUUAACUGAAUCCUUUCUGGUGUUUUAAUCAAGCUUUACAAAAGCUGGCUGCCUUUGCAGGAGUCCCAGGCAGCUCUGAGCUUGCUCCAAGCAGAAUUAGCGGUGGAAGUGCUUUGUGCUUCAUCGUUCCAGGUGCUCUAUCAGCCAGCCCAAGGAACUGGGAUGCAGCCUAGGGAGAUCUCAGCUGCAUGGCCAUGGAAUGCUGAAAUGCCAAGCCUUGCUCUCUCACUCUCAAAGCUCUCGUGUCCUGGUGGCAUUCAGCACAGAAAUAGCAUCACAAGAAGCUAUUGCUGCUGAAAAUUGCUUUGGUGCACUGGGACUCUUAUUCGCUGGGUAUAACAAGAGCGUUCUGCAAAGCAGAGGGAUAAAGACUGAGGAAGUGCUGUACUUAGAAAUCCUGUCUUGGUCUGACCUUUAUCUUGUCUCAGCAUCAACUUCUAAAGAGUGACUCCCAUCCCACCUCGCCAGGCAUUAUGGAGGAACAGCAGCUCUCUCCCUUGCACAGCUAUAGCUCACACAUCCAAAAGGCAACAAUGCCCACUCCAGUGGCAGAGACUUUGGGAACAGGACCACAACCAUUCUGGGCUUUUCAUGAAUAAAGAAUCUUAGAUCUGUACA